GUACGGCGAAAAAAGUUGUCCGAUGCGCGGAACUAGAUGCCAAAUUUGAGAGCCUAGUCUGUCUGUGCCAAAAAUGAAAAGUCAAAAAAGGAAUAGCGCAACAAUGUGCGAUGGGAGAAAGAGACCCGUGCAGCGCCCAGGUGUGAUUUUGCGAUCUGUGGUGUGUUCCGGCUCGAUUUGGAUGCGCGAGUGGUUCUGUGGUGAUCUUCAGCCGAAACGCAGCAAUUCAUGACUGGUUCUGGUGUCAUGUGCUGGUUCCAGCAGUUGCGCAUGAGGCGGUGGGUGGCACUCUGGUGGCGACACGUGGUGAACUGGGAGCACAAGGGUGGUGGCACGUGGCGACUCCAGUGAACGGGAUCACGUGCCCAAAAUAAAACUAGUUUUUUUUUAUUAGGUUCAUUUCUAAAAAUCUCUUGUCAUUUAAUAUGUGUGUUAUGUAUUUGUAAAUGAGAAAAUUAACCAAGUAGUAGUGAAGAUUUAGAAGAGAGUGUAG
RNAcentral lists this long non-coding RNA (493 nucleotides) under Carica papaya (papaya). RNAcentral's name for it is "long non-coding RNA (CPAP_LNC000779)". Lineage: Eukaryota; Viridiplantae; Streptophyta; Magnoliopsida; Brassicales; Caricaceae. The record is from RNAcentral.